CAGAUGCAAGAGUUUGAUCAUGGCUCAGGACGAACGCUGGCGGCGUGCCUAAUACAUGCAAGUCGAGCGAGUCUGCCUUGAAGAUCGGAGUGCUUGCACUCUGUGAAACAAGAUACAGGCUAGCGGCGGACGGGUGAGUAACACGUGGGUAACCUGCCCAAGAGAUCGGGAUAACACCUGGAAACAGAUGCUAAUACCGGAUAACAACAGAUGAUGCCUAUCAACUGUUUAAAAGAUGGUUCUGCUAUCACUCUUGGAUGGACCUGCGGUGCAUUAGCUAGUUGGUAGGGUAACGGCCUACCAAGGCGAUGAUGCAUAGCCGAGUUGAGAGACUGAUCGGCCACAUUGGGACUGAGACACGGCCCAGACUCCUACGGGAGGCAGCA
This 386-nucleotide ribosomal RNA is filed under the name Streptococcus pyogenes. Its description in RNAcentral is "bacterial SSU rRNA". It matches the Rfam family "Bacterial small subunit ribosomal RNA", at positions 1 to 353 of the family's 1533-position model. Lineage: Bacteria; Bacillati; Bacillota; Bacilli; Lactobacillales; Streptococcaceae. The record is from RNAcentral.